RNAcentral lists this ribosomal RNA (204 nucleotides) under uncultured bacterium. RNAcentral's name for it is "partial 16S ribosomal RNA". It matches the Rfam family "Bacterial small subunit ribosomal RNA", at positions 570 to 774 of the family's 1533-position model. The record is from RNAcentral.
CGUAGGCGGGUGCUCAAGUCCGGGGUGAAAUCCUCCAGCUCAACUGGAGAACUGCCUCGGAUACUGGGUGCCUCGAGGGUGGUAGGGGUAUGCGGAACUAUCGGUGGAGCGGUGAAAUGCGUUGAUAUCGAUAGGAACUCCGGUGGCGAAGGCGGCAUACUGGACCACAUCUGACGCUGAGGCGCGAAAGCCAGGGAGCAAACG